Molecule: unclassified non-coding RNA, 388 nt
Filed under: plant metagenome
Description: partial contains 5.8S ribosomal RNA, internal transcribed spacer 2, and large subunit ribosomal RNA
Rfam family: 5.8S ribosomal RNA (bases 1-115)
Source: RNAcentral
AGAACGCAGUGAAAUGCGAUAAGUAAUGUGAAUUGCAGAAUUCAGUGAAUCAUCGAAUCUUUGAACGCACCUUGCGCUCCUUGGUAUUCCUUGGAGCAUGCCUGUUUGAGUAUCAUGAAAUCUUCAAAGUAAAUCUUUUGUUAACUCAAUUGGUUUCUACUUUGGUAUUGGAGGUCUUUGCAGCUUCACACCUGCUCCUCUUUGUUCAUUAGCUGGAUCUCAGUGUUAUGCUUGGUUCCACUCGGCGUGAUAAGUUAUCUAUCGCUGAGGACACUGUAAAAGGUGGCCAAGGUAAAUGCAGAUGAACCACUUCUAAUAGUCCAUUGACUUGGACAAUACUUUUAUGAUCUGAUCUCAAAUCAGGUAGGACUACCCGCUGAACUUAAGC